RNAcentral lists this ribosomal RNA (501 nucleotides) under uncultured bacterium. RNAcentral's name for it is "partial 16S ribosomal RNA". It matches the Rfam family "Bacterial small subunit ribosomal RNA", at positions 30 to 523 of the family's 1533-position model. The record is from RNAcentral.
AUUGAACGCUGGCGGCAGGCUUAACACAUGCAAGUCGAGCGGGGGAAGGUAGCUUGCUACCGGACCUAGCGGCGGACGGGUGAGUAAUGCUUAGGAAUCUGCCUAUUAGUGGGGGACAACAUCUCGAAAGGGAUGCUAAUACCGCAUACGUCCUACGGGAGAAAGCAGGGGAUCUUCGGACCUUGCGCUAAUAGAUGAGCCUAAGUCGGAUUAGCUAGUUGGUGGGGUAAAGGCCUACCAAGGCGACGAUCUGUAGCGGGUCUGAGUGGAUGAUCCGCCACAAUGGGAAUGUAACCCGGCCCAGACUCUAACGGGCGGUAGCAGUGGGGAAUAUUGGACAAUGGGGGGAACCCUGAUCCAGCCACUCCGCGUGUCUGAAGAAGGCCUUAUGGUUGUAAAGCACUUUAAGCGAGGAGGAGGCUACUUUAGUUAAUACCUUGAGAUGGUGGACGUUACUCGCAGAAUAAGCACCGGCUAACUCUGUGCCAGCCGCCGCCGUAA